AGGUACGCAAAGAUUUCAGCAGUGAUCUUUGGUCUUGUCUUCCUGAAAGGAGGAACACAAAAAAAAGGCCAGUUCAUGUGCAUGAUCAGCGACAGUGAAAUACCAACGACGACUACUGGCAAUGGGGCCAAGGAAUACAGUGGCCAGCAUCUGCCUGAAAGUGAUGAGGACCAGCCGGUUCAUCCCCUGGUUCAGCGCCUGCUUGAGCAGCGCGGUCAUGACGGCGAUCACGACGUUCGUCGCCACCAUCGCCGCCGUCGGCAUCCACUCCUCCACGCAUCCUGCACUCCACAUUUUCAGUCCGUCUGCCUCGAUGAUCUGAUGGGCAAUUUGUUUCUGGUUAUGCCAUGGUUUUUAUAGGGGUGGUGACAGGCGAAGGUCCGGAAAAUGGCAUCUCAAGGCAUGUCUCCGACUCACGGUUUCGUUUUCGCACACGUGACCGAGAGCUAAAACAUGGCCCGGGGAAGAGGAGCACAUCGUUUGUUCUCUUAAUGUCUGAAUAAUUGUGGGAAAUUUGCCGUAUCGAGCAAAUUGCGCACCCGGCUGAAUCGAAUAGCUGUCUCUUUAUUGCAUAGUGCGAAGGAACAAAGUGGUACUGUCGCCGAGGCAUCCCUGCUCUUUCCCCACAGCAGAAUAUAGAGGCCCAAGAUCAUCAGUAUGGAUCCCAGCACACUGCAAGGGCAAAACAAAAAAUACAAAAGUAUGGGAAAUGAAUGAAUGAUCAUGAGACUGUACUGAUUUAAUAUCUGAGGCAAAUCUGGUUUACCUUCCAAGGUAGAUGUUCUCAUGGAGAAAGAAGAAAUCAAUUAUGGCCACCAU
This is a long non-coding RNA of Triticum dicoccoides, 819 nucleotides long. RefSeq lists it as uncharacterized. The transcript is spliced from 4 exons. NCBI's taxonomy places the organism in Eukaryota, Viridiplantae, Streptophyta, Magnoliopsida, Poales, Poaceae. The record is from RefSeq and is a predicted model, not a curated record.